UUAUGGGGGUACAAAUGUUUAGGUUACAUAUAUUGCCUUUGCCCUGCCGGAGUCAGAGCUUCAAGUAUGCCCGUCCCUCAGAUGGUCGCACCGCAUCCAUUAGGAAUGAUUCUAAAAUCUACAUAUGAUCUUGUCACCUUUUUGCUUAUGAUGUCACACUUCCAGGAAAAUGGACCGAUGCCCCAAUGCCCCGUGAAGGCAGUAGAGAUGGGGUCUCAC
This is a long non-coding RNA of Lemur catta (Ring-tailed lemur), 219 nucleotides long. RefSeq lists it as uncharacterized. The record is from RefSeq and is a predicted model, not a curated record. The transcript is spliced from 3 exons. Lineage: Eukaryota; Metazoa; Chordata; Mammalia; Primates; Lemuridae.